RNAcentral lists this ribosomal RNA (405 nucleotides) under uncultured bacterium. Its description in RNAcentral is "bacterial SSU rRNA". It matches the Rfam family "Bacterial small subunit ribosomal RNA", at positions 975 to 1375 of the family's 1533-position model. The record is from RNAcentral.
CAGCUCUUGACAUACUAGGUUUCGACUCCGAGAGAUUGGAGUUUUCAGUUCGGCUGGGCCUAGUACAGGUGCUGCAUGGCUGUCGUCAGCUCGUGUCGUGAGAUGUUGGGUUAAGUCCCGCAACGAGCGCAACCCUCAUCUUCAGUUGCCAUCAGGUUAUGCUGGGCACUCUGAAGAAACUGCCGGUGACAAGCCGGAGGAAGGUGGGGAUGACGUCAAGUCCUCAUGGCCCUUACGGGCUGGGCUACACACGUGCUACAAUGGCGGUGACAGUGGGAUGCGAUGGCGCAAGCCGGAGCGAAUCUCCAAAAGCCGUCUCAGUUCGGAUUGCACUCUGCAACUCGGGUGCAUGAAGUCGGAAUCGCUAGUAAUCGUGGAUCAGCAUGCCACGGUGAAUACGUUCCC